GAUGCUAGCUGGUUAAAGCUCAAGGUUUUGUGCCAAGCUCCUAGCUUUAUUUUGACUCUAUCUCCUUUGUAGUCAUUGUUGAAAACAAUCCCAUUUUUCCCAGAAAGGAGGGCUGUAGCUGGGCCCCUGCUGACUCGUGGUGGGGUAGAGAUCCCUGCCCAGGUCCCUGAGGAACAGUGCCUGCCGGUUUUGCUCCUGAAGAGCUGAGAGCUGUGAAGUUAAGCUGCAGCAAAGAAGCCUGAGUUUGGCUACUGCAAAAGGUGCUUUGGAGGAGGCUUUGGGAGGCUGCAGGCUCCCAGCUGCUGGUGUUGCUACACUCAGUCAGCUGCAACCAUCAUCCCCAUCAGUGAGAUCUGCUGGCAGGGACAGCUGCUGGACUGCUGCUUUUUGUUGUCCUCUGCCUCUGUGGACAAGAUGGCAGGUCCUGGAUCUUUGAUCAGUACUUUUUGUGGAGACCUUCUGUGCUGAUGAAGUCACACAAUGUUUUAGUGCACCGAAUCUCUGCAGACCCCAAGCCUUGUGUGCCCCAAGACCCUGCAAUUCUGUGAUUCUAUAACUAAAUGUGGGCCAGACUGAAAAUUGUUCCUGCUAGCAGUGUUCUGGCACACAACUACUUGCAAACUGGGGAAGGUGAGGAGCUGGAAAAAAGACAAACAAAAAACACCCCCAAAGACCCAAGCAUAGAAAACAUAUUUUGUGGAAGGAAAAAGGAUGCCCCAAUGCUUUUGUGGACUGAAAUCUAGCAAGUUUUCUUACAAUUGUGUGCUGGUGCCUGUGGCAAGGCCAUGAGACAGUGCUCUCCCAGGUAUUGCCUUAAGAACCUUUGUCUCUUUCUGUCUGUGCCCUUUAAAACAUCUCCAAUGUAAAGUAAUGCAAAAUUAGAGGAGUUUAUGUUGACAGAACUCAGACUGUUUAUGCCUUAGGAAGUGCUCGCUUUGAAGUGUAAGUGCUUUUAAUCAGAGACUUUAUGUGAUGAGAGACUUUAUCAAAAUCCAGGUCAAAGAUGUUGCAGUGAAAUACGGUCCCCCCGUAGUCUGGUAUCUCCUUUAGAAUCUGUUGGUGUCCACCUGCUUGCACAACAGCUGGAAAAGGGCAAAGAAGCAGUGAGCAAUACUGUGUUACUUGCUUUGCAGUGAGCUCCUGGUGUAUCCAAGCUUAUGGGAGCAAGAAGCAAAUAACAGUGUUAAUGUAGCUAAGUACUGUACAGAACUCCCCAUAAAUCCUAUCAGCUUUAAUCUCUGGCCUCUCUGUUAUUACGUUAAUGGAUCUCCUUUGAACGAAGCCUCUACCCUCCAUCAUUUCUUGUUCUAACAGUAAAAGGCAAGAAAUUCAUUAUGUACUUGUAUUUGCUAUUAACUGGUGCAGCAGCUGUAAGAAACACGAUGUAUUUAUUUGCAAGUACCAUGGAAUAAGACUAAAUUCAAAAGAAAUCUCCGAUAA
This 1440-nucleotide long non-coding RNA is filed under the name Phasianus colchicus (ring-necked pheasant). RNAcentral's name for it is "lncRNA (ENSPCLG00000012764.1)". The record is from RNAcentral. Lineage: Eukaryota; Metazoa; Chordata; Aves; Galliformes; Phasianidae.